UACGGAGGAUCCAAGCGUUAUCCGGAUUUAUUGGGUUUAAAGGGUGCGUAGGCGGGUGUAUAAGUCAGUGGUGAAAUUCUUCAGCUUAACUGGAGGACUGCCAUUGAUACUGUAUGCCUUGAGUACAGACGAGGUUGGCGGAAUGUGUAGUGUAGCGGUGAAAUGCUUAGAUAUUACACAGAACACCGAUAGCGAAGGCAGCUGACCAGAAUGUAACUGACGCUGAGGCACGAAAGCGUGGGGAUCAAACAGGAUUAGAUACCCUGGUAGUCCACGCCGUAAACGAUGAUUACUAGAUGUAUGCGAUACACUGUAUGCGUCUGAGCGAAAGCAUUAAGUAAUCCACCUGGGGAGUACGACCGCAAGGUUGAA
Molecule: ribosomal RNA, 372 nt
Filed under: uncultured bacterium
Lineage: Bacteria
Description: bacterial SSU rRNA
Rfam family: Bacterial small subunit ribosomal RNA
Source: RNAcentral